GAACGCGAAGAACCUUACCCGGGCUUGAAUUGCAGAGGAAGGAUUUAGAGAUAAUGACGCCCUUCGGGGCCUCUGUGAAGGUGCUGCAUGGUUGUCGUCAGCUCGUGCCGUGAGGUGUCGGCUUAAGUGCCAUAACGAGCGCAACCCCUCUCUUCAGUUGCCAUCAGGUAAUGCUGGGCACUCUGGAGACACUGCCACCGUAAGGUGUGAGGAAGGUGGGGAUGACGUCAAAUCAGCACGGCCCUUACGUCCGGGGCUACACACGUGUUACAAUGGCCGGUACAGAGGGAUGGUGUAAUGCAAAUUGCAUCAAAUCUUGAAAGCCGGUCCCAGUUCGGACUGGGGUCUGCAACCCGACCCCACGAAGCUGGAUUCGCUAGUAAUCGCGCAUCAGCCAUGGCGCGGUGAAUACGUUCCCGGGUCUUGUACACACC
Molecule: ribosomal RNA, 434 nt
Filed under: uncultured bacterium
Lineage: Bacteria
Description: bacterial SSU rRNA
Rfam family: Bacterial small subunit ribosomal RNA
Source: RNAcentral